GCUGGGCACGGUGGCUCAAGCCUGUAAUCCCAGCACUUUGGGAGGCCGAGACGGGCGGAUCACGAGGUCAGGAGAUCGAGACUAUCCUGGCUAACUCGGUGAAACCCCGUCUCUACUAAAAAAUACAAAAAACUGGCCGGGCGAGGUGGCGGGCGCCUGUAGUCNNNNNNNNNNGACUACAGGCGCCCGCCACCUCGCCCGGCCAGUUUUUUGUAUUUUUUAGUAGAGACGGGGUUUCACCGAGUUAGCCAGGAUGGUUUCGAUCUCCUGACCUCGUGAUCCGCCCGUCUCGG
This 293-nucleotide signal recognition particle RNA is filed under the name Chlorocebus sabaeus (green monkey). RNAcentral describes it as "Metazoan signal recognition particle RNA". It matches the Rfam family "Metazoan signal recognition particle RNA". From Rfam's summary of the family: The signal recognition particle (SRP) is a universally conserved ribonucleoprotein. It is involved in the co-translational targeting of proteins to membranes. The eukaryotic SRP consists of a 300-nucleotide 7S RNA and six proteins: SRPs 72, 68, 54, 19, 14, and 9. Lineage: Eukaryota; Metazoa; Chordata; Mammalia; Primates; Cercopithecidae. The record is from Rfam by way of RNAcentral.